AAGUUUGUAAAGCGCGCAAAUUGAUGGCAUUGGAGACUGGUUUAAUUGUUCCAAUUUGCCAAUACUUAUGAGCGUAGUGAGAGGAACGUUAAGGAAAGUCUCUUCUGUGCCCAUUCGUUGAAAGAGGGUAUUUCUUCGUGCGUUACGUCACUCGGACCAGCGGUGACGAUGCUAUCGAGAAUCACGGCUGCGUUAUCGUCCACACUUCCGCCAUUUCAGUAGGAUAGAUAAAUAAAAUAUGGGUGUUGGAGCCAUCACGCAACAUAAAGUAGGUGUCCGAGUAUUAUAAAUUAUGACAAUUGCGAAUCAAAUGAAACACUUAAAGCUUGAAAAGUGGGGAUCUUGUAGUGGGCUCAUUACAGGCUCGGUAGUCUCAUCGUUUACAUUAAGAAGUUGGUAUUUCAGAUCUUCAAAGUUACGCUAGAGGGUACGAGAUUAAUUUUUGUGCUUUCCAGAUAUAUAUCAUUAAAUAUUUCGCCGAAUUUUAUUCGUAGAAGAAUAUUAUAAUCUAAAAAUGGCCGAAGAAAGUGCGAGGACAAAUAAUUUUACAAAAAUUAAAACAGAUUUUACACAGAUGGUAACAAAGGAUCCGAAGAAAACAAUCUUCUUUGUCUUCAAGAUUAUCGAAGUGGUUUGUAGAAGCAGAAUCAUUAUCAUGAGUUGCUUUAUUUGAAUACGCUCUUUGUAUAUUGGAAAUAAAA
This is an RNA transcript of Ceratosolen solmsi marchali, 701 nucleotides long. RefSeq lists it as uncharacterized. The transcript has 3 exons. The record is from RefSeq and is a predicted model, not a curated record. NCBI's taxonomy places the organism in Eukaryota, Metazoa, Arthropoda, Insecta, Hymenoptera, Agaonidae.